Molecule: non-coding RNA, 28 nt
Filed under: Mus musculus (house mouse)
Lineage: Eukaryota; Metazoa; Chordata; Mammalia; Rodentia; Muridae
Source: RNAcentral
UACGUAGCAGAUGUGCAGCUAGGUCUUC